GCUUACGGCCACACAGCCUGGUUCCACUGAUCUCGUUUGAUCUCGGAAGCUAAGAUAGGUUGGGCCUGGUUAGUACUUGGAUGGGAGACCGCCUGGGAUACCAGGUGCUGUAAGCU
RNAcentral lists this ribosomal RNA (116 nucleotides) under Scophthalmus maximus (turbot). The record is from RNAcentral. Lineage: Eukaryota; Metazoa; Chordata; Actinopteri; Pleuronectiformes; Scophthalmidae.